RNAcentral lists this ribosomal RNA (275 nucleotides) under uncultured prokaryote. RNAcentral's name for it is "partial 16S ribosomal RNA". It matches the Rfam family "Bacterial small subunit ribosomal RNA", at positions 524 to 798 of the family's 1533-position model. The record is from RNAcentral.
UACGUAGGGUGCGAGCGUUGUCCGGAAUUAUUGGGCGUAAAGAGCUUGUAGGCGGUUUGUCGCGUCUGCUGUGAAAAUCCGGGGCUCAACCCCGGACUUGCAGUGGGUACGGGCAGACUAGAGUGUGGUAGGGGAGACUGGAAUUCCUGGUGUAGCGGUGAAAUGCGCAGAUAUCAGGAGGAACACCGGUGGCGAAGGCGGGUCUCUGGGCCUUACCUGACGCUGAGGAGCGAAAGCAUGGGUAGCCAACAGGAUUAGAUACCCCUGUAGUCCCU